AUCGAAUUGUGCACGGUCUGAGUUUUUAAUGGUAAGUGCGCGACAAUGUAUUCAUUUUAAGCAACUUGACACUUCACUAUAUAACAGAGUCAGACAUUGUACUUAUAACCCCACUAUUUCAAUGUGAGAACUAGUGUAUUGUUAGUAGUUAGUAGCUAGUUAUAGAUCAGAUUAUUGUUGUUUUGGGGAGCAGUUCUGGAGGAGGAGCAGGAAGGAGGAGGAGCCUGGAACUUAUUUAUAGAACUGAGUUCAGGUGUGAGCCUUGCGGCCCACUUGCAGCAGAAGCCCAGCCUCUCCCGUCGACAAUUGUUUUUCUGGGUGAAAAUUGAUGCAAUGCAGACUUUUACCUGAAGUUCUUGACGUGAUCGUCCACACCAGACAGAGAAAGAGCGUUGCUGACUGCGCUCACAAAUGUCACUGCCUGCGUGGACGAACCCCAGUUCACAUCUGGAAAGAAAAUAAAAAAAGUCCAAACAGUUGCACUGCAUUUAGAAAAGCAUGGCAAGUUCCUGACCUGGAAGACCUUGGGAGCACUGACAAGGGAAGCCAGGGCUGAGGAGAGAGUAGCGGAGAAUGUUCCGGCAAUGAUGAGGGGACCAAAC
Lates calcarifer (barramundi perch) is the source of this 602-nucleotide long non-coding RNA. RefSeq lists it as uncharacterized. NCBI's taxonomy places the organism in Eukaryota, Metazoa, Chordata, Actinopteri, Centropomidae. The transcript has 3 exons. The record is from RefSeq and is a predicted model, not a curated record.